This 427-nucleotide long non-coding RNA is filed under the name Nicotiana tabacum (common tobacco). Its description in RNAcentral is "long non-coding RNA (NTAB_LNC000172)". The record is from RNAcentral. Lineage: Eukaryota; Viridiplantae; Streptophyta; Magnoliopsida; Solanales; Solanaceae.
CUAGCUGAGUUCUAGGUUGUUGGUUCAGUUCAGUUUGUAAAGGACAUUGUGGAAGCUGUUGCGAGGUAUGCUGAGAUUGUAAUGAUGAUUCUUGGGGAUACUGUGGUUGAGGCCGAGGAUGAGGUUGAUGCAGAGGCUGGGCUUGAGGUUGGGCCUGGGCCUGGGUCUGGAACUGCGCUUGGGUUGGGGUUUGAAAUUGGUGAUGAUAUUGAGGUUGGGACUGAGGUUGGGACUGAGGUUGAAACUGAGGAGGAAACUGAGGUUGCGACUGAGAUUGAGGUUGGGGUUGGGGCUGAGUCUGAGCCCAAGGAGCUACAUAACUGUUAAAGCUCUGAUCUUGAUAUCCAAGAUAAGCUUGAGAUGCAUAUGGAUUCCCUUGCGUGGUUGAGGCAACAGGCUCCUGAUGCGUGCUAUGAUUGGCUGAAGC